This 675-nucleotide ribosomal RNA is filed under the name uncultured Alphaproteobacteria bacterium. RNAcentral's name for it is "bacterial SSU rRNA". It matches the Rfam family "Bacterial small subunit ribosomal RNA", at positions 57 to 776 of the family's 1533-position model. The record is from RNAcentral. Lineage: Bacteria; Pseudomonadati; Pseudomonadota; Alphaproteobacteria.
GCAAGUCGAGCGGGCGCUUUCGGGCGACAGCGGCGGACGGGUUAGUAACGCGUGGGAACGUGCCCUUUGCUCUGGAAUAGCCCUGGGAAACUGGGGGUAAUACCGGAUGUGCCCUGAGGGGGAAAGAUUUAUCGGCAAGGGAUCGGCCCGCGUCUGAUUAGGUAGUUGGUGGGGUAACGGCCCACCAAGCCGACGAUCGGUAGCUGGUUUGAGAGGAUGAUCAGCAACACUGGGACUGAGACACGGCCCAGACUCCUACGGGAGGCAGCAGUGGGGAAUCUUAGACAAUGGGCGCAAGCCUGAUCUAGCCAUGCCGCGUGGGUGAUGAAGGCCUUAGGGUCGUAAAGCCCUUUCGCCGGGGAAGAUAAUGACGGUACCCGGUAAAGAAACCCCGGCUAACUCCGUGCCAGCAGCCGCGGUAAUACGGAGGGGGUUAGCGUUGUUCGGAAUGACUGGGCGUAAAGCGCGCGUAGGCGGAUCAGGAAGUUGGGGGUGAAAUCCCGGGGCUCAACCCCGGAAUGGCCUUCAAAACUCCUGGUCUUGAGUUCGAGAGAGGUGAGUGGAAUUCCGAGUGUAGAGGUGAAAUUCGUAGAUAUUCGGAGGAACACCAGUGGCGAAGGCGGCUCACUGGCUCGACACUGACGCUGAGGUGCGAAAGCGUGGGGAGCAAACAGG